Callithrix jacchus (white-tufted-ear marmoset) is the source of this 705-nucleotide long non-coding RNA. RefSeq lists it as uncharacterized. Lineage: Eukaryota; Metazoa; Chordata; Mammalia; Primates; Cebidae. The record is from RefSeq and is a predicted model, not a curated record.
GACCAAAGGCUUCGGGCGGAUUGCCGCAGGCACGUUUGCCCCAACGAUUCUGUUUGAUGUCCCUGGGGGCACCAACUGGGAUCCAAAGUCAUCUGGACCACGCCCAACUUGGGCCGUGCGGAGCGCCACCGCCGAGGCAAAGGAUGCAGCAAGGGAAGUGGUCAGAUUGCCUAGAGGUACACAGAGCACAUGCCGCCCUGGAGGAUGGGGACAGCCUGGUCAGCCUGUCCUGCUCCCAACACGGACUGAGGCCCACACUCCAGGGGACACAGGCUCAGGGCUCAUUCUGAAAACUCAAGCUACAAAUGGAGACUUGCUCAAGUCUGUAAUGCCAGCACUUUGGAAGGCCGAUGCGGGUGGAUCACCUGAGGUCAGGAGUUUGAGACCAGCCUGAUCAACAUGGUGAAAUCCCAUCUCUACUCAAAAUACAAAACUCAGCCAGGUGUGGUGGCAUGCACCUGUAAUCCUAGCUACCCAGGAGACUGAGGCAGGAGAACUGCUUGAACAUGGAAGGUGGAGGUUGUAGUGAGCCUACAUCACACCACUGUACUCCACCUGGGCAACGGAAAGCAAAUCCAUCUCAAAAAAAAAAAAAAAAAGGAGACUUGAACAUGCAGUUAGUUAAAAAAUAAAGUAAUCACAGAGUAUAGGGGGCACCAAGGUGAGGAUGCCUGCCCACCCAGCACCCUGGGCCCCACGUACCGU